UACGAAGGGGGCUAGCGUUGUUCGGAAUUACUGGGCGUAAAGCGCGCGUAGGCGGACCUGCAAGUCGGGGGUGAAAGCCCGAGGCUCAACCUCGGAACUGCCUUCGAUACUGCGGGUCUCGAGUCCGGGAGAGGUGAGUGGAAUUCCUAGUGUAGAGGUGAAAUUCGUAGAUAUUAGGAAGAACACCAGUGGCGAAGGCGGCGCACUGGCCCGGUACUGACGCUGAGGCGCGAAAGCGUGGGGAGCAAACAGG
Molecule: ribosomal RNA, 253 nt
Filed under: uncultured bacterium
Lineage: Bacteria
Description: partial 16S ribosomal RNA
Rfam family: Bacterial small subunit ribosomal RNA
Source: RNAcentral